Glycine soja is the source of this 1882-nucleotide long non-coding RNA. RefSeq lists it as uncharacterized. The record is from RefSeq and is a predicted model, not a curated record. The transcript is spliced from 6 exons. NCBI's taxonomy places the organism in Eukaryota, Viridiplantae, Streptophyta, Magnoliopsida, Fabales, Fabaceae.
UUGAAAAAAAAAGAUAUCCCUACGGUAAAGAAGCCCUUCUUUUUCUUCUCUUACAACCAAGAGCCACUCUUAUAACUCUGGACUCGUUUACACUCGUACCUAAGGGUUGAAUCACCGGUGGCACUUUCCACUUUCUUCCCUUCCUUGCCACGAAGCCUCGAUUUCGGAUUUCACCUUCGAAACGCUUGAAAGCGUUUGAAAGCGCGUGGGAGAAAAUGUCAUCCUUGUCGGAAAUUAGAGAGGACGCGAGGUGAAGAGGGGUGAACUGCGCGUGGCCGCUGUUUGUCGCUAUUUCGUGAGCGCUCACGAGAGCCUCGUUGCCGUUGGUCUUGUGGGUAAACUUAUCGGGGAUUCAUGAUUUUGCGAAGGACGAAAAGGUUUCGGAAAACGGCUUUUUUACCAAAAGGAGGGGAGAAGUUUAUUGUAUCCGCUUUGGUCGAGGUGAAAGUCUUACAAAGGUACGUCGGUAAGUGAUGGUUGUGAUGGUGGUUGGUGUGGUUGCUAAAGGCAGAGAUGGAUGAAGACCAGUGGAUGCAUGACAGUAUAAUGUCUGAAGAAGUUGAUAUGAAUGAACAAAAUGAAGAUGAAGCCGGUCUAAAAUCAAAACAUAUUGACUGUUCUGAUGUCUUCAGUACUUCUCAGGAUCAGUAUAUUCAUUGGCAUAGAGUAAAGGAUGAAGAUGUCGUACAUGAUAUCUUUUGGUGUCAUCCUGAUGCAGUGAAGCUAUGCAAUGCCUGUAAUUUGACAGUUCUCGUUGUGGAUGUGUAAUGAGAACUACUCAUGGUCUUCCUUGUGCAUGCAAGUUAGCUAGAUAUGUUGUCGAUAGCAUACCUUUGGGUGUAAUCCAUAUGUUUUGACGAAGACUAAGUUUUUCAGACCAAGGGUUAUCUGAGCCCGAAGCCAAAAUAACCGAAGAGAUGGAAACCAUAUCCAAGCGGUUUGAAGAACUUAAUGUUUGUGGCAAAGUUACUCUAAAGAGCAAACUUCGGGAAAUUGCCUACCCUACUCUAAACUCUAUGUGUCAUCCUCCAAAAAAGGUCAAAACAAAAGGUGUUCAAAAGAAACCGAUGACCAAACAUCAAAGAUCAACAAAGGGUGAUUCAUCUUAAUGGAAGUAUGUUGAUGUAUUACAUUCUAUGCAAAAUAGUAAUUCUUCAGUCAAACGUAGUGCAUAAUCAUUUGAGCAAGCAAUUCCAAGAAGGACUAUGUUGAUGUUGGAUCAAUUUCAUUCAUGCAAUCAUGAUUCCAUUGAAAAUAUUGUUGAUGUCAAAGUCGAUGGUAACUGUGGAUAUCGUGCAAUUGUAGUCUUAUUAGGUAUGGGUGAAGAUUCAGGUCUUUGGUGCGCAACCAUUUGCUUAAAGAACUUGUCAAAUGGUCUAAUGAGUAUAUCAAUCUGCUUGGUGGCAUAAACAAAUUUGAGGAAUUAAAGUGAUCCAUACUUGUUGAUGAAUUAUUCACGGUUACCAUGGAUAAGGGGAUGAAUAUAACUGACAUGGGAUAUGUGAUUGCAUCAAGGUAUAAUGUGAUCCUUGUUUCUCUUUUUCUCCAACAAAGCAUGAUGUUUUUUUCCUCGUAGAAGUCAACCACCAACAUAUUUUUCUGUACAUCGCGUAAUAUGUAUCGGUCAUGUAUAUGACUAUCAUUUUAUUCAGGUAUUUCUAAGAUAUCGCUGUCCCUUACUGCCACUAACUUUCUUAUGGUCUACACAUUGUCAUCCUCAAGCAAAGCAGUGGCUAACACCAUAUAUUAGUAGAAUGCAACAGUACAGAAAUUUGUUGAUGUUGAAAAUAGACUAUGUUGAUUUAAGUGAAGAUUGAACAUUUACUUACUUAUGUAAUUGUCAUGUAAUACAAUAAUAUACAUGUGUUUCAUUGAAUGUUCA